UACGUAGGGCGCAAGCGUUAUCCGGAAUUAUUGGGCGUAAAGAGCUCGUAGGCGGUUUGUCGCGUCUGCCGUGAAAGUCCGGGGCUCAACUCCGGAUCUGCGGUGGGUACGGGCAGACUGGAGUGAUGUAGGGGAGACUGGAAUUCCUGGUGUAGCGGUGAAAUGCGCAGAUAUCAGGAGGAACACCGAUGGCGAAGGCAGGUCUCUGGGCAUUAACUGACGCUGAGGAGCGAAAGCAUGGGGAGCGAACAGG
Molecule: ribosomal RNA, 253 nt
Filed under: uncultured bacterium
Lineage: Bacteria
Description: partial 16S ribosomal RNA
Rfam family: Bacterial small subunit ribosomal RNA
Source: RNAcentral